RNAcentral lists this ribosomal RNA (468 nucleotides) under uncultured bacterium. RNAcentral's name for it is "partial 16S ribosomal RNA". It matches the Rfam family "Bacterial small subunit ribosomal RNA", at positions 28 to 507 of the family's 1533-position model. The record is from RNAcentral.
GACGAACGCUGGCGGCGUGCUUAACACAUGCAAGUCGAACGGAAAGGCCCUGCUUUUGUGGGGUGCUCGAGUGGCGAACGGGUGAGUAACACGUGAGUAACCUGCCCUUGACUUUGGGAUAACUUCAGGAAACUGGGGCUAAUACCGGAUAGGAGCUCCUGCUGCAUGGUGGGGGUUGGAAAGUUUCGGCGGUUGGGGAUGGACUCGCGGCUUAUCAGCUUGUUGGUGGGGUAGUGGCUUACCAAGGCUUUGACGGGUAGCCGGCCUGGGAGGGUGACCGGCCACAUUGGGACUGAGAUGCGGCCCAGACUCCUACGGGAGGCAGCAGUGGGGAAUAUUGCACAAUGGGCGGAAGCGUGAUGCAGAAACGCCGGGUGCGGGAUGACGGCCUUCGGGUUGUAAACCGCUUUCGCCUGUGACGAAGCGUGAGUGACGGUAAUGGGUGAAGAAGCACCGGCUAACUACGUG